Non-coding RNA from Equus caballus (horse), 3571 nucleotides. Lineage: Eukaryota; Metazoa; Chordata; Mammalia; Perissodactyla; Equidae. The record is from RefSeq and is a predicted model, not a curated record.
GGCUGGGGAGGGGGGAAGAAAGGAAGGAAAUGGUCAUGGGGAGCCAGUGGUAGUUCUUGGACUAGGAAAAUGGUGAUCUUCCUGUUUGAUGACAGGUCAUAGAGGAGGUGGUUUACUGGUGACAAUGGGUAAAGUGAGCUAAGCAAAUCCCAAGGAAGAAAAUAACUAACUGGAAAGGGAAAGUUACCUUUUAAGUGAGGAUUUAUUUUUGUAGGUGGACCCUUGCAUUUUUUUUUCCCAAAUAAUUCUGCCACACUUCAUAGACUUUUUCAUUCUCCUUCAGAGAAGAUGAGACAAAGUACUUGGGUGUGGGAUGUGGAGGAGAAAUGGGCUGAAAUGUCUACAAAAUUGGCUUAGCUUCCUCCUUCCUUUUACUAGUGAAAAAUCCUGUCUCUUGUCAGGCUGUGUCCUUUAGGCCCACGGCCGGAGGACUGCUGACGAAGCCCUGAGGAAGCUCAUGACCAGUCUUGUUUAGCUAGGAGGGCGGGAGGAAAACGUCGGGUGGCGCUGGACUCUGUGUUGCCGUGGUUGUUGUGGGCAACAUCCCAGCUCGGUACCCACAUUUUAUUUGCUUCAGCUCAUACUUGGGAGGUCAGGGAAGAGCAAAAGGAAGGUAAAGGAUUUGCAUCUACUGAACAAACCUUCGGCUAGUCCUCAGAUCAGCUUCCCCUUCUUCCCUACAGGUGAAAUUGAGAUAUUGGAAGACAUUCGGUUCUGAUCCGACUCUCCGCACUGGGGUUUUGGAGACCCCAGUCGUCUUCCUGUUCACAGUGGUCUUUAGUUAGUCACCUGGCUUCUAAUCAAUAGAUCCUAUACUGCCAUCAAAGCUGCAGAGAGGAUUGUCAGCACUUGCCUCCUGUCCUUCAGCUUUGAGGAGAAGACAUGUUAGAAACAGCAAGUCCCAUGGAUUCCUAACCUCUACUGCUCCUGGCCAUGAAUGGCCUGUCCCAGGGCAGGAGCCAGGCCCCAGGGUCGUACAAUGACCCGGAGCAUGGAUGCCUCUCUACAUGUUGCUUCCUAGGCAUCUUACUCUUCUUACUGGCUCUGACCUUUUCCCUCCCUCCUCUUAGCUUCUUCCACUCAGAGAACAGAGUUCAUACAAGAGAGUACAAGUUUCCUAUCAUCCUAAAAUUUCUUUGGUGAGUAUGAACCAGACAAACACCUAGUUUUUAUCCACAGAACAUAGAACCUCUAUCUGAUUGCUUCUCCUAACCUCCUUUCCCACUGGUAGACAUCUUGGGCCCUUGCUACAGAUGCUUUGUUUGAUCAAAAACUAUGUGGGCAUGUUCACAAAUGUUUGGAACUACUUUAUUCAUAAUAAUCCCAAGCCAGAAAUAACCCCAACAUCCACCAAAAGAAGAAUGGAUAGAUAAGCUGUAGUAUAUUCAUACAAUGGAAUGAAUACCUUAGGGAUUAAAAGCAAGGAACUAUUGAUAUAGACAAUGGCAUGAAUAGACCUCAAAAACAUCAUGUUGAGCAAAAGAAGCUGGAACAAUGAGCCAUACUGUGUGAUCCCUUUUGUUUGCAUUCCAUUUGUAGAAAGUUCGCUAAAAGGCAAAACUAAUCUGUAGUGAUAGAAAUCAGAACUGUGGAGGUGGGGUAGAUUGACCUCGAGAGGGCACCAGGGGCUUUCCGGGGUGGUGGAAAUGUUCCACAUCUUGAUUGGGGUGGUAGUUACGGGCAUAUAGGCAAUUGUCAAAACUCACCAAUCUAGAUGCUUCAGAUCUGUGUAUAAAUUAUAUUUAUUGCGUGUAAAUUACCCUUCAAUUUGAAAUAUUGGUAGUCUAAAAAAAUGGCAUAUCUGGUCAAACUGUUACACAAAUGACACAGAUGUCUCUUCAACCAGGCCUUCUGUCACCCUGAGCUGAGCUGAGCUACAAGCCCCCUUUCUCUGGGCUCCAAUUUGUACCAUUGCAUUUGCAUGCCAUAUUGGAAGUUUGUCUCCCCAUAAAUCUGAGCUCCCCAUAAAUCUGGGCCUGGUAUAGUGUCUGGCCCAGGAAGACACCCAUCACAUCCAAAGAGCCCCAGGAAAUCUCACCUCACCGAAUGGGUGCAUAGAGGGAAUAGGCACCAAGAAUUCUCUGGAGAGACCAAUUUCCAUGUGGCUGAAAAGUAAGGUAAAGCCCUUCCUGUGGUUGGAGGCUUCCCCAGAGGCCGCGGGGCCUGGUGGGGUUUUCCAUACUGGAGGACAUUUAAAGGGACUGAGGACAACAUUUAGGGUUGGCUGGCCCUGCAGAGUAUGAAACCAGAGCAUGUAGCCCCAGGAGGGAUGGAGGGAGAAGUGGCAGUGAGGAGGACAUCAUUACUUAGUUCAGGAAAAUGAAGAACAGCUGAUCAUUCUCCCCACUCCAAGAAAAAGAAAAAGGGAAGGAAUAAGAAAAAUUUAAAAGAAUUUUGGGGCUGAAAGUGUAUGCUUCCGUGUAUACACUGGUCUCAACGAAUUGCUUGGCAUUGCUGAAUAAAUCAACGCAUGGGGCGAUUAACUACUCAAAGAGAAGACACUGAAUAAGGAUCUGGGUGAGGGGUCAAGUGUCAGGUGGGUUCCCACACAGCAGAACGUGGUGCCAAAAGUCCAACUUUGAUGCGGUCAAGCAGGGUGGGACGCUGGUUUUGCAGAGACCUUGGAGGGAGUACAAAGGGCAGGGAGUCCAUUCAGGAUACCCAGAGUUUCUAAGCUGGAGGGGAAGCCAAAUCAAGAAGAAACAGCAGGCAAGAUACAAAGAAAAGGGCAGGGGCUCAGGCAGCUGGCAGCCCAGGUGAAUUUCCCUGCAGGUGUUGGCGUGGCUGGUUCCGGCCUACCUGAGUAUCUAUCUGCCUUGGCCUCCCCUGGGUAGGGCGGUGCCAGGCUGGAGUGGAAAGGGGAGAGAUUGCCAAGAACAGUCCCUUCCUUCAUGUAACUUACAAUCAGGUUGCAAAGACAAGACAAAGAAGAUGACACAUAAAUCAAUUCAAGAGAAGAAUGGAAGAGAAGUCAUAAAGGAAUAUGUGAUUAAUUGCUUAGUGAUGGAUAUAGAAUAUAAGGGUGAGAAUCAUGUCAGUCCAGCCCAGGAUCACAAGCUGGAAUGUCUGCGGGGAGCAGACAGAUCAUAUAAACAAGAGACUCAAGCCAAUUUGUAUUCUUUCAUCACAAGCAGUGGACAUGAAGAUUAAGUAGCCAGGAAGACUCAGCACUUCCUCCAAAAAAUAUGCUGUCUCCCAUUUUACUUAAAUCCUCAGCUCGUCAGUCAAUCUGUUUUCCCACUUUUGAUGGAGAUAUGGAUCCUGAGAAGCAUCUUCCAUAACAAGGAAAACAAGAGUGCAUAGUGAUGAUGAAAGGAAACUGGUGCUCAUUCUUGGUUUACAGAAGACAACAGAGAGGGACAGAUAUGGUGGCAACCAACCUGCAGGGGGCAUGCCUUUCAGAAGUGGUGGCCCCUGGGGGACAUCAGGCGAUUUUGACAGUGUUGUCAUUUAUUCUCACUUUUCAAGAGAUGCCUGAAAUCCAGAUUCUAUGUGAAAUCUCUGAAUUUUUAAAUAAGGACCUUAAUUUUUUGUUGUUGUUGUUGUUGAAGAAGAUUCGCUGACGUCUGUG